Molecule: ribosomal RNA, 624 nt
Filed under: Anopheles gambiae (African malaria mosquito)
Lineage: Eukaryota; Metazoa; Arthropoda; Insecta; Diptera; Culicidae
Description: eukaryotic small subunit ribosomal RNA
Rfam family: Eukaryotic small subunit ribosomal RNA
Source: RNAcentral
CUGGUUGAUCCUACCAGUGAUAUACGCUCGUCUCAAAGGUUAAGCCAUGCAUGUCUAAGUACAAGCUUCCUAGAAAGUGAAACCGCAUAAGGCUCAGUAUAACAGCUAUAAUUUACAAGAUCCUCAUCCAAACAGUUACUUGGAUAACUGUGGAAAAGCCAGAGCUAAUACAUGCAUUAUGCCGGGACUGUUGGCCUCCGGGUCGGCGGAACUGGUGCACUUAUUAGUUAAACCAAUCGCCUCCGGGCGCUUUGAGUUGAAAUCUGGAUAAGGAUGCCGAUCGUACGGUCGCUUGCGACUGACGACAGAUCUUUCAAAUGUCUGCCCUAUCAACUAUUGAUGGUAGUGUAGAGGACUACCAUGGUUGCGACGGGUAACGGGGAAUCAGGGUUCGAUUCCGGAGAGGGAGCCUGAGAAAUGGCUACCACAUCCAAGGAAGGCAGCAGGCGCGUAAAUUACCCAAUCCCGGCACGGGGAGGUAGUGACGAGAAAUAACAAUAUGGACCUCUCUAACGAUGGUCCAUAAUUGGAAAUGAGUUGAGCAUAAAUCCUUUUGCAAGGAUCAAGUGGAGGGCAAGUCUGGUGCCAGCAGCCGCGGUAAUUCCAGCUCCACUAGCGUAUAUU